Molecule: long non-coding RNA, 621 nt
Filed under: Pan troglodytes (chimpanzee)
Lineage: Eukaryota; Metazoa; Chordata; Mammalia; Primates; Hominidae
Description: lincRNA
Source: RNAcentral
AAUACAAUUCUGGGAAUGUUCAGGCUCUCUCUGUUCUUUCCUCUCUUGCAAACCAUGGGCACCCUUGGGUCCCUUGGGGUCACUAUGUUACACCUGCUUUUUAUCUGUCUGGGCAAGAGCUGCUCAAGCCACACCUUGUGACACUGAGAUCAGCUAUGAAAAUACCCAGCCGGCCUGCAGCCCUCCCGGCAGAUGCUGAAAAGGAAACCCGACUGGGAGAUGCCGCCCACCCUUGUCCCCAGAGAGCUGCGUUGUUUCCUCCUGCCUCGGCCUUUGGAUCCGGCCACAGCAAGCAUCCCUGGGCACCUGGCUGAAGCUGGAAACUCGGGAUAAGAAUGGAAGCCCUGGAAGGGAAGAAGAACCGAGGAGUGAGCUUGCCCUGAGGACAGCACAUCGCACUCUCACCUCCUUUGCAGUUAAGUGUGAAAUAGUGCCAAUAGAGUGUGAAAGAAAAGAAAGAAGAUGAUUCACCUCCCAAAGAUUCCCCACUGCUGUGUCCCUUCUAUCAACUUGAUACAAAAAAACACAAUGGCCCCGGGAACCACGUGUUGAAGAUGAGAGAGCUAAAAGAUGGAAAGAGACUGGAGCCCUGAGUCACCACCUGGAGGAAAACUACCCACC